CAGCCAAAGAGUGAGAGCAGCCUAGAUGCCCAUCCACAGAUGACUGGCUACAGAAGUGAUGGGAUCUAUAGUCCAUGGAAUACUACUCUGCUAUCCAAAGAGAUGAUAAUGUGUCCUUUGGGACAAAGUGGAUGGGACUGGAGGUGAUGACGCUUAGUGAGGGCUCCUCAGCAAAGGACACAAGAGACCCAGGUGCAGACAGACGGACACAAAGAUGAGCCCCUGGGAGGGAACCGGCCAGUGGACACAGUGCCCACUCAGAGGAUGUCACAGCUGCUGCCAGGGCCACCGAGACCCAGCCCAGAGGUGGCCUCCCGCCCUGACUCCAGACACCCUGGGAUGAGGGCAGGAGGAGGCUCACAUGCUCAAGUGUCAACACUCACCAGGCUCUAGAACCCUGCCCAUCUGUCUGUAGGCUUACCAGUGGCUUUGCUGGCCCAGAGCAGAGCCAUCCAGGGAGUAGGGCCCCGGCCUGAUGUCCCCCUGCAUCUCCCCAGCAUCUGGAGCUGCUGCCAGUACAGGGCGAGAACUGUGGGUGACCAAAAGGGUGCUGUAAUGAAGAGGGUGAGGACCAGAAGAGCAGACUGUCUUCACCACAGAGAGAAGAGUGUAGGGGUGAAGUCCUGGAGAUGCCACACAGCCAGGACAAAGUGCUUGGUGACAGACGGGCCAGGAGUUGCUUUAGUUAGGAGCUACUUUAGAGCUUCAGAGCCAGAGGGACAACCCCAC
Long non-coding RNA from Erinaceus europaeus (western European hedgehog), 729 nucleotides. RefSeq lists it as uncharacterized. The transcript is spliced from 3 exons. Lineage: Eukaryota; Metazoa; Chordata; Mammalia; Eulipotyphla; Erinaceidae. The record is from RefSeq and is a predicted model, not a curated record.